RNAcentral lists this long non-coding RNA (735 nucleotides) under Gossypium barbadense (sea-island cotton). Its description in RNAcentral is "long non-coding RNA (GBAR_LNC022393)". The record is from RNAcentral. Lineage: Eukaryota; Viridiplantae; Streptophyta; Magnoliopsida; Malvales; Malvaceae.
GCCAAUAGAAUAAUUAAAAUUUUCAUUGAUAUUAGGCAGAUAAGUACAAUGACAAAAAGAAUUUUUAAUUUCCUUCCUCAAUUAGCGGAGCUGUAGUGGCAGCAUCUUCUAGGUUUUCUUCUUCUUGACCAAUUCCUUUCGCGGGAACAGGGCUUGUUACCUUAGGUUUUGGAGGGGACAGAAGAGCUUACCUGGCUCUCUUCAUUCCCUCUGAAAUUCUUCCCACUCCACGCUCAAAGGGUCGAGAACAUCAAAUUUAAAAUUUGAAUUUGUGAGUCAGGCAAUUGUAAUUUAUGCAACUCGCAUUAAAAGGGUCCACAGCAACUUGGGUUGUAACAUCAGAUUCGACCUUAAAUUAGGCAGAUAGCUCUUCAAGUUGGCGCUGGUUUCUACCUUGUAGUUGUCCAGAGCCUCAUAGCUUUCCCUUCGGAGUUGCUCAAAUUAGAGAGGCGUUGCUCCUCUAAAGAUUUCUCGUUAGCCUCCAAUUGACAUAUUUUCUCCUCCACCUACUUCAUUUCUGCCUCCUAGGUUUUGCCUUUAGUCUUUUAAGCAGAGGUAGAUGCUGCCAGCUCCCUAUUUUGGCGGACUGUGUUUUCAUAAAUGUGGCAAAAUUGGCCCAAGUGUUCCCUCAAGUGAGCCCACGAAAUUCUCAAACACAACCUACCUGCCUUUGUUUUUGGUGCAAGCUUCAGACAUGGCCCAACUUAGGAGUUCGCACUUCGCCACCAUCAAUUG